RNAcentral lists this ribosomal RNA (476 nucleotides) under uncultured bacterium. RNAcentral's name for it is "partial 16S ribosomal RNA". It matches the Rfam family "Bacterial small subunit ribosomal RNA", at positions 355 to 840 of the family's 1533-position model. The record is from RNAcentral.
UGGGGAAUAUUGCACAAUGGGCGAAAGCCUGAUGCAGCGACGCCGCGUGAGGGAUGACGGCCUUCGGGUUGUAAACCUCUUUCAGCAGGGAAGAAGCGAAAGUGACGGUACCUGCAGAAGAAGCGCCGGCUAACUACGUGCCAGCAGCCGCGGUAAUACGUAGGGCGCAAGCGUUGUCCGGAAUUAUUGGGCGUAAAGAGCUCGUAGGCGGUUAGUCGCGUCUGCUGUGAAAACUCGAGGCUCAACCUCGGGCUUGCAGUGGGUACGGGCUGACUAGAGUGCGGUAGGGGUGACUGGAAUUCCUGGUGUAGCGGUGGAAUGCGCAGAUAUCAGGAGGAACACCGAUGGCGAAGGCAGGUCACUGGGCCGCAACUGACGCUGAGGAGCGAAAGCAUGGGGAGCGAACAGGAUUAGAUAGCCCUGGUAGUCCAUGCCGUAAACGUUGGGCACUAGGUGUGGGGUCCAUUCCACGGAUU